RNAcentral lists this non-coding RNA (193 nucleotides) under Leisingera methylohalidivorans. Lineage: Bacteria; Pseudomonadati; Pseudomonadota; Alphaproteobacteria; Rhodobacterales; Roseobacteraceae. The record is from RNAcentral.
CGCUACCCGCGCCUGACCGGUCCCGAAAGGGCUAAGAGGGAAUCCGCGGUGCCUGCCGGCACCAAACGGAACUGCCCCCGCAACUGUAGGCGGCGAGUGCUGUGCCAGGACGUCACUGGGCCGAAACGGUCCGGGAAGACGGCACAGUCAUUGACCCGCCAGUCAGGAGACCUGCCGGUGAUAACCGAAACAC